Molecule: ribosomal RNA, 490 nt
Filed under: uncultured bacterium
Lineage: Bacteria
Description: partial 16S ribosomal RNA
Rfam family: Bacterial small subunit ribosomal RNA
Source: RNAcentral
AUUGAACGCUGGCGGCAGGCCUAACACAUGCAAGUCGAAUGGUAACAGGAAACAGCUUGCUGUUUCGCUGACGAGUGGCGGACGGGUGAGUAAUGUCUGGGAAACUGCCUGAUGGAGGGGGAUAACUACUGGAAACGGUAGCUAAUACCGCAUAACGUCGCAAGACCAAAGAGGGGGACCUUCGGGCCUCUUGCCAUCAGAUGUGCCCAGAUGGGAUUAGCUAGUAGGUGGGGUAACGGCUCACCUAGGCGACGAUCCCUAGCUGGUCUGAGAGGAUGACCAGCCACACUGGAACUGAGACACGGUCCAGACUCCUACGGGAGGCAGCAGUAGGGAAUAAUGCACAAUGGGCGCAAGCCUGAUGCAGCCAUGCCGCGUGUAUGAAGAAGGCCUUCGGGUUGUAAAGUACUUUCAGCGGGGAGGAAGGGAGUAAAGUUAAUACCUUCGCUCAUUGACGUUACCCGCAGAAGAAGCACCGGCUAACUCCGUG